UACAGAGGCCCCGAGCAUUAUCCGGAUUUACUGGGCGUAAAGGGUGUGUAGGUGGCAUUGUUAGUCUCUCGUUAAAACCCGAAGCUUAACUUCGGAAUCGCGAGGGAAACGGCAACGCUCGAGGAUGCGAGAGGUAUGCGGAACUCAAGGUGUAGGGGUGAAAUCCGUUGAUAUCUUGGGGAACACCAAAUGCGAAGGCAGCAUACUGGCGCACUCCUGACACUGAAACACGAAAGCGUGGGCAGCGAACGGG
This 253-nucleotide ribosomal RNA is filed under the name uncultured bacterium. RNAcentral describes it as "partial 16S ribosomal RNA". It matches the Rfam family "Bacterial small subunit ribosomal RNA", at positions 524 to 776 of the family's 1533-position model. The record is from RNAcentral.